Molecule: non-coding RNA, 439 nt
Organism: Cajanus cajan (pigeon pea)
Lineage: Eukaryota; Viridiplantae; Streptophyta; Magnoliopsida; Fabales; Fabaceae
Source: RefSeq, a predicted model, not a curated record
UUCACCACCGGGAGAAAUAAUUGGCACAAGUCAUGCAUCCCAACAACCAAACAAUGCACUUAGGGACGCAAGGAUGCAAAAUUUGGACAAUAAUAUCAACACUAAUCCCUACCGUGUCCAAAAUCAAUAUUCGAGCAACGCUCUCUAUGACCCUUUAUUUGAGACUUGUGGCCUUGUCAUUGACCCUCACAUUAGAUUGUUUCUACAAUCAAUUGAUCCAGAAAUGCAUGGCUAUCUCAUGUUUGAUUGAAAAGUGCGUGAAUUUCUCAUGUCAACCCUCUUUAGAGUCUCUAUCUUUGUUUAAUCAAAUCAAAUUCUCAAAUAAAGGAUUGUUUAUGUGUUUUCUUUAGUUUACAUUAAGAGUUCACUAAAUGAGACCUAUCUUACCUUUCUUGUUCAAUAAACAUAAAACUGCAUAGCCCUUAUGGUACCUUAUUCA